RNAcentral lists this ribosomal RNA (523 nucleotides) under uncultured bacterium. RNAcentral describes it as "partial 16S ribosomal RNA". It matches the Rfam family "Bacterial small subunit ribosomal RNA", at positions 28 to 523 of the family's 1533-position model. The record is from RNAcentral.
GACGAACGCUGGCGGCGUGCCUAAUACAUGCAAGUCGAACGCUUUUUCUUUCACCGGAGCUUGCUCCACCGAAAGAAAAAGAGUGGCGAACGGGUGAGUAACACGUGGGUAACCUGCCCAUCAGAAGGGGAUAACACUUGGAAACAGGAGCUAAUACCGUAUAACACUAUUUUCCGCAUGGAAGAAAGUUGAAAGGAGUUUUGGCGGCAAUGAUGGAUGGACCCGCGGUGCAUUAGCUAGUUGGUGAGGUAACGGCUCACCAAGGCAACGAUGCAUAGCCGACCUGAGAGGGUGAUCGGCCACACUGGGACUGAGGCACGGCCCAGACUCCUACGGGAGGCAGCAGUAGGGAAUCUUCGGCAAUGGACGAAAGUCUGACCGAGCAACGCCGCGUGAGUGAAGAAGGUUUUCGGAUCGUAAAACUCUGUUGUUAGAGAAGAACAAGGAUGAGAGUAGAACGUUCAUCCCUUGACGGUAUCUAACCAGAAAGCCACGGCUAACUACGUGCCAGCCGCCGCGGUAA